CCUACGUGAGGCAGCAGUGGGGAAUAUUGCACAAUGGGGGAAACCCUGAUCCAGCGACGCCGCGUGAGUGAAGAAGUAAUUCGUUAUGUAAAGCUCUAUCAGCAGGGAAGAAAAAGACGGUACCUGCGUAAGAAGAAGCGGCUAACUACGUGCCACCAGCCGCGGCAAUACGUAGGGGGCAGGCGUUAUCCGGAUGAACUGUGUGUAAAGGGGGCGUAGACGGCAGUGCAAGUCUGUAGUGAAAGGCGGGGGGGUAACCCCCGGACUGCUGUUGAAACUGUACGGCUGGAGUGCAGGAGAGGUAAGUGGAAUUCCUAGUGUAGCGGUGAAAUGCGUAGAUAUUAGGAGGAACACCAGUGGCGAAGGCGGCUUACUGGACUGUAACUGACGUUGAGGCACGAAAGCGUGGGGAGCAAACAGGAUUAGAUACCCGAGUAGUC
RNAcentral lists this ribosomal RNA (440 nucleotides) under uncultured bacterium. Its description in RNAcentral is "partial 16S ribosomal RNA". It matches the Rfam family "Bacterial small subunit ribosomal RNA", at positions 338 to 795 of the family's 1533-position model. The record is from RNAcentral.